Molecule: ribosomal RNA, 274 nt
Filed under: uncultured bacterium
Lineage: Bacteria
Description: partial 16S ribosomal RNA
Rfam family: Bacterial small subunit ribosomal RNA
Source: RNAcentral
AUACGAAAGGUGCAAGCGUUGUUCGGAUUUACUGGGCGGAAAGAGAGUGUAGGUGGUUUAUUAAGUCGGAUGUGAAAUCCCGGGGCUCAACCUCGGAACUGCAUUCGAUACUGAUAGGCUAGAGUUUGGGAGGGGUAAGCGGAAUUCCGUGUGUAGCAGUGAAAUGCGUAGAUAUACGGAGGAACACCUGAUGCGAAGGCGGCUUACUGGACCAAUACUGACACUGAGACUCGAAAGCGUGGGUAGCAAACAGGAUUAGAAACCCGAGUAGUCC